UGUAAUACCGAGGCACACACAGUGUCUGACUGGUCAACAAGGGAUACUGAUCUUAGUGAUUAAGCGUAAUGUAAGUACGUCAGUCUCUUGGAAAGUGGGGAAACCCACUUUUUUUAUGGAAA
Molecule: non-coding RNA, 122 nt
Filed under: unclassified sequences
Description: DUF3800-I RNA
Rfam family: DUF3800-I RNA
About the family: Actinobacteria, Firmicutes, Fusobacteria, Proteobacteria (1 example), Tenericutes (2 examples). Terminator (Clostridia)
Source: Rfam by way of RNAcentral